CAAGAAGCUACACUCAUGAGUCUCACCUAAACUCGAAUCUGAUUUAGAUGACAUCAUCCUGGACUUUGAGUUGAUGAAACCUUGGAGGUCUUGGGAGUAAAUUGCUUCAAGAUUCAGAGCAACCUGAGAAGGUUGAAAGUUUUCUUGGAAUCAUGGAAGGUCAAGAUGAAAGGAUGCUUUCAAGUUAUUUAAAUCCACAUGUGAAACCUGGAGAGGGAAUGAAGCCAGAUACAUUUUUCAGUGCCCAUUGCAGUUAAUGUGUCCCUAUGACUGAGUUUUAACCAAUGGAGUGUGGGUAAUGUGCACCACUUCCAGGCCUGGGCAUUAAAAG
Molecule: long non-coding RNA, 331 nt
Organism: Symphalangus syndactylus (siamang)
Lineage: Eukaryota; Metazoa; Chordata; Mammalia; Primates; Hylobatidae
Source: RefSeq, a predicted model, not a curated record